CUCUAUAUAGCAAUCCAUUACUUCAAAAGAAAUUUGAAACGAGGGAGAAAAGUAUGAAUUUUGAAGAGGACCACACUCAUACAAUAUAGUAUACAUUUCAUUGUUGGAAGUGUAAUGGAAGAAAUGAGAAUCUAUUUUCACAUUAAUAUAAUGUUUGGGACAAGAGAGCUUAUCACCAGGAAGAAAACCCCAUAAAUCGUCUCUUGCAAUCCUUAAAACUUGAGAGGAUUGAUUUAUAUGAAGGAUGUAAAACUUUUGGGACAUCAUUUCCAUAGUCAAUCUACCAUUUUG
Molecule: long non-coding RNA, 291 nt
Filed under: Lathyrus oleraceus (garden pea)
Lineage: Eukaryota; Viridiplantae; Streptophyta; Magnoliopsida; Fabales; Fabaceae
Description: Pisum sativum (pea) long non-coding RNA (PSAT_LNC000580)
Source: RNAcentral